This 305-nucleotide ribosomal RNA is filed under the name uncultured bacterium. RNAcentral describes it as "bacterial SSU rRNA". It matches the Rfam family "Bacterial small subunit ribosomal RNA", at positions 334 to 636 of the family's 1533-position model. The record is from RNAcentral.
GAUCCCUACGGGGCGCAGCAGUGAGGAAUAUUGGUCAAUGGGAGAGAUCCUGAACCAGCCAAGCCGCGUGAGGGAAGACGGCCCUAUGGGUUGUAAACCUCUUUUGUCGGAGAACAAAACCCGGGACGUGUCCCGGACUGCGUGUAUCCGAAGAAAAAGCAUCGGCUAACUCCGUGCCAGCAGCCGCGGUAAUACGGAGGAUGCGAGCGUUAUCCGGAUUUAUUGGGUUUAAAGGGAACGCAGGCGGUCUUUUAAGUCUGAUGUGAAAGCCUUCGGCUUAAUCGGAGUAGUGCAUUGGAAACUGG